Molecule: ribosomal RNA, 424 nt
Filed under: uncultured bacterium
Lineage: Bacteria
Description: bacterial SSU rRNA
Rfam family: Bacterial small subunit ribosomal RNA
Source: RNAcentral
GAAUAUUGGACAAUGGGGGGAACCCUGAUCCAGCCAUGCCGCGUGUGUGAAGAAGGCCUUUUGGUUGUAAAGCACUUUAAGCGAGGAGGAGGCUACUCUAGUUAAUACCUAGAGAUAGUUGACGUUACUCGCAUAAUACGCCCCGGCAAACUAUGUGCCAGCAGCCGCGGUAAUACCGAGGGUGCAAGCGUUAAUCGGAUUUACUGGGCGUAAAGCGCGCGUAUGUGGCAAAUUAAGUCAAAUGUGAAAUCCCCGAGCUUAACUUGGGAAUUGCAUUCGAUACUGGUUGGCUAGAGUAUGGGAGAGGAUGGUAGAAUUCCAGGUGUAGCGGUGAAAUGCGUAGAGAUCUGGAGGAAUACCGAUGGCGAAGGCAGCCAUCUGGCCUAAUACUGACACUGAGGUGCGAAAGCAUGGGGAGCAAACA